Molecule: ribosomal RNA, 422 nt
Filed under: Chryseobacterium sp. W14_1
Lineage: Bacteria; Pseudomonadati; Bacteroidota; Flavobacteriia; Flavobacteriales; Weeksellaceae
Description: bacterial SSU rRNA
Rfam family: Bacterial small subunit ribosomal RNA
Source: RNAcentral
GGACAUUUUUCAAGGUGCUGCAUGGUUGUCGUCAGCUCGUGCCGUGAGGUGUUAGGUUAAGUCCUGCAACGAGCGCAACCCCUGUCACUAGUUGCCAUCAUUAAGUUGGGGACUCUAGUGAGACUGCCUACGCAAGUAGAGAGGAAGGUGGGGAUGACGUCAAAUCAUCACGGCCCUUACGCCUUGGGCCACACACGUAAUACAAUGGCCGGUACAGAGGGCAGCUACACUGCGAAGUGAUGCAAAUCUCGAAAGCCGGUCUCAGUUCGGAUUGGAGUCUGCAACUCGACUCUAUGAAGCUGGAAUCGCUAGUAAUCGCGCAUCAGCCAUGGCGCGGUGAAUACGUUCCCGGGCCUUGUACACACCGCCCGUCAAGCCAUGGAAGUCUGGGGUACCUGAAGUCGGUGACCGUAACAGGAGCU